ACGUUGACGACUAUGACCGUUCGAACCGCUACAGAGCGCGCUAUUCUCUCGUGGUUGUGAUCCGAGCUAAUUGGUCGAUCGUAGACAGCACGUGGAGAAUCUUCUAGAUAUCUAAUCCUAAUAUCAAUUUUCUCAAUGAAAAUCGUUUUUUCGUGAAAAACGCAAACGAUUCAACAGCGAUAAGUUAUCUAUACUUCUUCAAAGUGAAUCAUUCUUCUUCAGACUUCUUCGAUACUCAGAGCGUUGGACAUUUAAACGGGAAUAUCUGUGUACAAUAAGAUUUUUUUUUUUUUUCCUUAGUAAAGAACGAACAUAAAACAAUACUUUUUAUUGAUAUACUUAUCUUUUUAAAACUUUAUCUUUCAGCUAAUUCUGCAGCAACUUUGCGAUUACAAGCAAAGAUAUUUAAACGUUUCUGUUCAGAUGUCCUGUCCUGUAUAGAAAGAAAAAUUGCAAGCUGAGCUUUCGAAGUUUCUUUGAAUUCUUGGAGAUGUCGGAAUCUGCUGCUCGUUGACGAUGUCAGCUGUUUUUUGUCAAUCAUUUUUUCAUUAUCAUAAAGAUAAUAAACUUUCAUGUAAAAAAUAUUGCGAACACGAAAAUGACACAUGUUAGGAAACAAAAGGAUAUAUCAACGUGUCGCAAAAUUUUUACGUCGAGGAAAGUUGGACGUUCGGCGUGUAUGCCAUUCGAGAGGAAGAAAGUGAUCGGAGACGAGUUCCUUCGUGCGGAAAAUACGAGCGGUUAUUUUUGUCCGGUUCUUACGCGGAGAUGGUUGGUAACUGCCGUAGGGAGGAGAGAAGAAGAGGAAGAUGAGAAGGAGAAGACGGUCCAUUCGUUCUACUCUCGUGCACGCUCCAAUAUAUCAUCCUGCGCAGCAUCCAGCGUAGACUGAACGGGAGAGCUACGGGAUUAUCUUUAGUUACGAAAAACGACGAGAUCGUGUUUCGCUCGAAAACUGACGUCGAAGUUCAUUCGUUUUUACCUCUUUCUCUCUAUCAAUCUAUCUCUGUCUCUCUUUUUUCCUCUCCUUUUGCACUUGAAAAUAAAAGAUUUCAUUCCUUUAUGGAGUGAAGAAAAAAUCAACCAGCCGUAGCGAAACAAAUAAUAUCGAGUUGAUUCAUAAAUAGAUACUGUUAUACAAGUAAUAAAUUUAAGACAAUGGAAGGGUACUUAUUUAUGAAUCAACUUAAUAACUAUAAUGUACAAAAUAAUAAAGUUAGUAAUUCGUAAUUACAAAUUUGAUUCACAUAUAUAUCCAAUAAUAAAGAUGACGACAAUGAUAAUGAUAAAUAAAUAAGAAAACACGUGAUGCAAUAAAAAAAUAACAUCUCAUCGACUUCUUUUAGAGGUAAUAUAUUUGUUUUCCGAUUUUUUUUUUGUAACCUAUUAAUAUAUCGUAUAAUAAUUAAUAUUAAUAAAGAUAACAGACGAUAUAUAUUACAGUUGUCGAUUCUAAGCGUGUAGAAUAACCAAGAAAAGAUCAUUCGUGCGUAGGGACGACGAAAGAUCUAUUCUCGCUCAUGGCCUUUUUCUCUUUCGCUAUUUCCUCUCUUUCUACUUGUCGUCGAUGGAAGCUACUUCUGUGUUUUUUUUUCUUUUUUUUUUUCUUUAACUUUUGUCUGAGCAAAUUUCUAACUAUCUCAUUCGGAACACUCGUUCCCGCUAGAACGUGCGCGUGUACAUUAUAAUUUUCCGUCGUUAAGUACAUAAUCAUCGAUGAUUGAUAAAAA
This is a long non-coding RNA of Vespula pensylvanica (western yellowjacket), 1730 nucleotides long. RefSeq lists it as uncharacterized. The record is from RefSeq and is a predicted model, not a curated record. Lineage: Eukaryota; Metazoa; Arthropoda; Insecta; Hymenoptera; Vespidae. The transcript is spliced from 2 exons.